UUUCGGUGGGCACGAUGAAGGCAAUCAACGACUCCAUCGAAAGAAAAGAGGGAGAUAGAAGAGAGAGGAAGCCUGAUGUUUUCAUGGCUUGCUUAAGAUAAAGAAGAAGAAAUUUAUAGAUGGGAUCUAGGGCUCCUAGAGUCCCAAUCCCAUUCUGAUUCAAAGAGGGAAGACGGACUCUAUUAGGAGUCCUCUUCCGUUCUCUUCUUUCUUAU
Molecule: long non-coding RNA, 215 nt
Filed under: Elaeis guineensis (African oil palm)
Lineage: Eukaryota; Viridiplantae; Streptophyta; Magnoliopsida; Arecales; Arecaceae
Description: long non-coding RNA (EGUI_LNC006613)
Source: RNAcentral